AUUGAACGCUGGCGGCAGGCCUAACACAUGCAAGUCGAGCGGAUGAAGGGAGCUUGCUCCUGGAUUCAGCGGCGGACGGGUGAGUAAUGCCUAGGAAUCUGCCUGGUAGUGGGGGAUAACGUCCGGAAACGGGCGCUAAUACCGCAUACGUCCUGAGGGAGAAAGUGGGGGAUCUUCGGACCUCACGCUAUCAGAUGAGCCUAGGUCGGAUUAGCUAGUUGGUUGGGUAAAGGCCUACCAAGGCGACGAUCCGUAACUGGCCUGAGAGGAUGAUCAGUCACACUGGAACUGAGACACGGUCCAGACUCCUACGGGAGGCAGCAGUGGGGAAUAUUGGACAAUGGGCGAAAGCCUGAUCCAGCAAUGCCGAGUGUGUGAAGAAGGUCUUCGGAUUGUAAAGCCCUUUAAGUUGGGAGGAAGGGCAGUAAGUUAAUACCUUGCUGUUUUGACGUUACCAACAGAAUAAGCCCCGGCUAACUUCGUG
RNAcentral lists this ribosomal RNA (484 nucleotides) under uncultured bacterium. RNAcentral describes it as "partial 16S ribosomal RNA". It matches the Rfam family "Bacterial small subunit ribosomal RNA", at positions 30 to 507 of the family's 1533-position model. The record is from RNAcentral.